This 25-nucleotide non-coding RNA is filed under the name Arabidopsis thaliana (thale cress). Lineage: Eukaryota; Viridiplantae; Streptophyta; Magnoliopsida; Brassicales; Brassicaceae. The record is from RNAcentral.
AUGCAAGUGGUACCUUCGUCUCCUU